CGCCGCUGUGGCUGGACUCAUUCUCGCUGUCUUCUCCACACCUCGACUGCGUCUCCUCCUUGUCACUCUCCUUCCCAUGGUUUCGGGCGUUUUUGACUUUCUGGUGGAUGCGCUGGUGACGGACCAGGCUGUGCUUCAGAGUGAAGGUCCGUUCACAGGUUUGACACUUGUAAGGUCUCUCACCUGGAAGAGAAUGACAACACAAAGUCAGCUGUGAGGUCACACACGUGCCUUCCUCUUGUUUCAAGCAGCAUGAAACACUUUGCAUUUGCAAAUUCAGUACCUACAUCAAACGUCACAUUUAUGCAGAUUUUUUGCUUCUGUGCUAGCAAACUGGCUGAAUACAAUACUUGCAAACUGGAAUGCAAGCCUGAAUACAGUUACCUCACAAGAAGACAAAAAUUACCUAAGAUGUGGUCCUUAAUGGUGUCCUCCGGUUACUUACCUCCCUGCAGUAUUAAUGUUGCUGAAGAUGUAACAUAUGCCCAAAAAACUGAAACAGGAAUUGUUCCAGGACACGAAGUUCGCAAGUGGCACUUUCUGAAAGCUGAAACUUCAAGUCCUCCACCCCGCCUCCUGCUUAUUGACAGCAAGCAGCAAAGGGAGCCCACAACCCACCCGGCAUUUCAACAUUCAUCUGCAAGAGCGAUAGGUGCUGAGUAACUACAGGGAUUUAGAAACUCCAGGAGAGCAGUGCAAGCUCUCUGUUUGACACAGUAAAACAUGUGCUUGUCUGCAAACUGCCCAGAUUUCCUAUUACAGGCUUUUUCCCUAAGCAAGGAGUAAAAACAGAAGAUAAGAAGAUGGUUCUCAGGCACUUAUUAGUUUGAAUGUAGUCUUGCAACACAAUUUACACUGGUCCCAUCUCCCCUCACUAGUGAUAAUA
This is a long non-coding RNA of Passer domesticus (house sparrow), 886 nucleotides long. RefSeq lists it as uncharacterized. The transcript is spliced from 3 exons. Lineage: Eukaryota; Metazoa; Chordata; Aves; Passeriformes; Passeridae. The record is from RefSeq and is a predicted model, not a curated record.